UGCAGGAAGACGGCCCUAUGGGUUGUAAACUGCAGUAGCGUGCGGGAUGAAGGCCCUCCGGGUCGUAAACCGCUUUUAGACGGGGAUAAAAGGGCGUACGUGUACGCCGUAUUGCAUGUACCGUCAGAAAAAGGGACCGGCUAAUUCCGUGCCAGCAGCCGCGGUAAUACGGAAGGUCCGGGCGUUAUCCGGAUUUAUUGGGUUUAAAGGGAGCGUAGGCGGACUUUCAAGUCAGUGGUAAAAUCGUGUGGCUCAACCAUACCUCGCCAUUGAAACUGGAAGUCUGGAGUGCACACAGGGGUGCCGGAAUUCACGGUGUAGCGGUGAAAUGCUUAGAUAUCAUGAAGAACUCCGAUCGCGAAGGCAAGUGCCCGGGGUGCAACUGACGCUGAGGCUCGAAGGUGCGGGGGUAUCGAACAGGAUUAGAUACC
RNAcentral lists this ribosomal RNA (431 nucleotides) under uncultured bacterium. Its description in RNAcentral is "bacterial SSU rRNA". It matches the Rfam family "Bacterial small subunit ribosomal RNA", at positions 354 to 786 of the family's 1533-position model. The record is from RNAcentral.